Cavia porcellus (domestic guinea pig) is the source of this 592-nucleotide long non-coding RNA. RefSeq lists it as uncharacterized. The record is from RefSeq and is a predicted model, not a curated record. The transcript is spliced from 2 exons. NCBI's taxonomy places the organism in Eukaryota, Metazoa, Chordata, Mammalia, Rodentia, Caviidae.
CCGGGCGCCACCGAGCGCCCAGAGCCCGGAAGCAGCUCGGCCGGAGACCGCAGGGGCCAAAGGUGUCGUUGGUAUUUCUUCUCUCUGGGAUAGUUCAUUAGAUGAUUGUGUUCUUCCAUGCUCUGUCUUCAAGGGCCUCUAAUGUAGAUUACCAUAAAGCAGUUCUCAGCAGAAUUUAAAAUUAAACAAUUGGCUUUCUAUGUUUACUUGUGAGUCUGUCCCAGGCCUAAACCCCUUGUCUGAAGAUGGGCAGCAGAUCUGUAGUAAGUGAACAUCUAUGCAUCCCUGGUCCUGGCUGAGGCCUGUGAUGCCAGUGACUUCUCAAAGGACAAGAUAAGGCCACAGCUGAGGACACCUGACUUCAACCCCAAAUAACUAACUAGAGACUGUAGCUGCACGCAUCUCACUCCAGCUGUCUCAGCUCUGCCAUGAAUGUCAACCUGGAUGUGAUAGUUCUCCUAAAUCACCAACAUUUACCACUUGGAGAAGUCUUUAAACAGAUCCCCCACCCACCCAAGGUCCUGCUCAGUUCCUAUGUUUUCCUCAGCAUCCCUGCUUUGUUUAAAAAACAAAUAAAUAUGAGCCACCUAAA